This 467-nucleotide ribosomal RNA is filed under the name uncultured bacterium. Its description in RNAcentral is "partial 16S ribosomal RNA". It matches the Rfam family "Bacterial small subunit ribosomal RNA", at positions 28 to 506 of the family's 1533-position model. The record is from RNAcentral.
GACGAACGCUGGCGGCGUGCUUAACACAUGCAAGUCGAACGGAAAGGCCCUGCUUUUGUGGGGUGCUCGAGUGGCGAACGGGUGAGUAACACGUGAGUAACCUGCCCUUGACUUUGGGAUAACUUCAGGAAACUGGGGCUAAUACCGGAUAGGAGCUCCUGCUGCAUGGUGGGGGUUGGAAAGUUUCGGCGGUUGGGGAUGGACUCGCGGCUUAUCAGCUUGUUGGUGGGGUAGUGGCUUACCAAGGCUUUGACGGGUAGCCGGCCUGAGAGGGUGACCGGCCACAUUGGGACUGGGAUACGGCCCAGACUCCUACGGGAGGCAGCAGUGGGGAAUAUUGCACAAUGGGCGGAAGCCUGAUGCAGCAACGCCGCGUGCGGGAUGACGGCCUUCGGGUUGUAAACCGCUUUCGCCUGUGACGAAGCGUGAGUGACGGUAAUGGGUAAAGAAGCACCAGCUAACUACGU